AUCGCUUCUCGGCUCUUUGAGCUAAGAUCAAAUGUGUAGUAUCUGUUCUUAUCAGCUUAAUAUCUGAUACAGUCCCCAUAGGGGACUCAGAAUAUUAAUCUGAUUUUUGAAACAAGGCGGGAGUAUGAGGCUUGCUUCUACCCUGCUGCAGGUCGACCCGAUAUGGCAGUAAUUUCGGGACUGGCCUAAUAAAU
This 194-nucleotide small nuclear RNA is filed under the name Pogonomyrmex barbatus (red harvester ant). RNAcentral describes it as "U2 spliceosomal RNA". It matches the Rfam family "U2 spliceosomal RNA". Rfam says of the family: U2 is a small nuclear RNA (snRNA) component of the spliceosome (involved in pre-mRNA splicing). Complementary binding between U2 snRNA (in an area lying towards the 5' end but 3' to hairpin I) and the branchpoint sequence (BPS) of the intron results the bulging out of an unpaired adenosine, on the BPS, which initiates a nucleophilic attack at the intronic 5' splice site, thus starting the first of two transesterification reactions that mediate splicing. Lineage: Eukaryota; Metazoa; Arthropoda; Insecta; Hymenoptera; Formicidae. The record is from Rfam by way of RNAcentral.